Molecule: ribosomal RNA, 497 nt
Filed under: uncultured bacterium
Lineage: Bacteria
Description: partial 16S ribosomal RNA
Rfam family: Bacterial small subunit ribosomal RNA
Source: RNAcentral
GAUGAACGCUGGCGGCGUGCCUAAUACAUGCAAGUCGAGCGAACGGACGAGAAGCUUGCUUCUCUGAUGUUAGCGGCGGACGGGUGAGUAACACGUGGAUAACCUACCUAUAAGACUGGGAUAACUUCGGGAAACCGUAGCUAAUACCGGAUAAUAUUUUGAACCGCAUGGUUCAAAAGUGAAAGACGGUCUUGCUGUCACUUAUAGAUGGAUCCGCGCUGCAUUAGCUAGUUGGUAAGGCAACGGCUUACCAAGGCAACGAUGCAUAGCCGACCUGAGAGGGUGAUCGGCCACACUGGAACUGAGACACGGUCCAGACUCCUAUGGGAGGCAGCAGUAGGGAAUCUUCCGCAAUGGGCGAAAGCCUGACGGAGCAACGCCGCGUGAGUGAUGAAGGUCUUCGGAUCGUAAAACUCUGUUAUUAGGGAAGAACAUAUGUGUAAGUAACUGUGCACAUCUUGACGGUACCUAAUCAGAAAGCCACGGCUAACUACGUG